GAGACUGCGGACGGCUCAGUAUAUCAGUGAUUAUCUGUUUGAUUGUCUUACCCAUUGGAUAACCGUGGGAAAUCUAGAGCUAAUACAUGCAGUUUAUUGGCGUAGUCGCAAGGUUGCGUCAAAGCAUUUAUUAGACUUAACCAUCUACUAUAUGUCAAAGUAUAGUAAGGCGAAUCUAGAUAACUUUGCUGAUCGUAUGGCCUAGUGCCGACGACGUUUCAAUUGAGUUUCUGCCCUAUCAAUUUGUUGGUAAGGUAUUGGCUUACCAAGGUUGCAACGGGUAACGGGGAAUCAGGGUUCGAUUCCGGAGAGGGAGCCUGAGAAACGGCUACCACAUCCAAGGAAGGCAGCAGGCGCGCAAAUUACCCAAUCUAGACAGUAGGAGGUGGUGAAGAGAAGUACUUAGUGGUGGCCAAAUGGUCCCAACUAGGAAUGAACGUAAUUUAAGCAAUUCGAUGAGUAACUACUGGAGGGCAAGUCCUGGUGCCAGCAGCCGCGGUAAUUCCAGCUCCAGUGGCGUGAUUUAAAGUUGCUGCGUUUAAAACGCUCGUAGUUGGAUCACGCAGUGGCAUGUAGUAACACAAAUUUGGUCGACUGACGAUUUUCUUUCCAAGAUUAUUGAAUCUUGACCGGUUUGUGUGUUAACGCUAUAUGUCACUAUUUGCACACAAGUAUGAUAUUUGGUCUUUAGUGAAUCGAGUAUCGUGUCUUGUGGAGUGUGCCUUGAAUAAAACAGAGUGCUCAAAGCAGGCGAACGCUUGAAUGUUAUAGCAUGGAACGAACAAACGUGUAUUUGCGUAUGUUUGAGCAGUUGAGGGCAACUUUGAUUGCUUGAGCGUACGCAGCACCCGCCAAAAUACGGAUGUUGGUUUUCGUAUCAGGUGAUGAUUAACAGGAGCGGUUGGGGGCAUUGGUAUUUGGCCGCGAGAGGUGAAAUUCUUGGACCGGCCAAGGACUAACAGAUGCGAAGGCGUUUGUCUAGACCGUUUCCAUUAAUCAAGAACGAAAGUGGGAGGUUCGAAGACGAUCAGAUACCGUCCUAGUUCCCACUAUAAACUAUGCCGACCUGGGAUCAGUUUAGUGAUUAACAAGCUCUAGGUUGGUCCCCCUGGGAAACCUCAAGUUUUUCGGUUACGGGGAGAGUAUGGUCGCAAGUCUGAAACUUAAAGGAAUUGACGGAAGGGCACCACCAGGGGUGGAGCCUGCGGCUUAAUUUGACUCAACACGGGGAAACUUACCUGGUCCGGACAUCGAAAGGAUAGACAGACUGAUAGAUCUUUCUUGAUGCGGUGAGUGGUGGUGCAUGGCCGUUCUUAGUUCGUGGAGUGAUCUGUCAGGUUUAUUCCGGUAACGAACGAGACCACCUUCUCCAUUUAAGAAACAGUAGCAGGAGGUUGGCUUAAUGUUGCUUCGGUGGCUUUGAGUUAGCCUUCGUAGGUAGGAUUGUUGAAUUUUAUAGGUGGAGUGCGGUACACAAUCCAAUAAUUAUACCUAAGUGGUCUCCGAAAGGGAAAAAAAACGAGAAGCGGUAUGUGGCUAUGUUAAUUGCCGCCAGAGAUAAUUUCUUGGACCUUUCAAGAAAAACAUAUGCUAUAUUCUUUUUACCCGCCCGCUCCUUUAGUGGCGUACCCAGGUGUGUUAUACUUAAACCCAAUAACAUGUGUUGCCCAUGUAUAUCACAUUGAGGCCACCUUGGUGGUGGCAUCCAG
This 1709-nucleotide ribosomal RNA is filed under the name Myxobolus sp. TJA-2014. RNAcentral describes it as "SSU rRNA". It matches the Rfam family "Eukaryotic small subunit ribosomal RNA", at positions 83 to 1424 of the family's 1831-position model. The record is from RNAcentral. Lineage: Eukaryota; Metazoa; Cnidaria; Myxozoa; Bivalvulida; Myxobolidae.